Molecule: ribosomal RNA, 478 nt
Filed under: uncultured bacterium
Lineage: Bacteria
Description: partial 16S ribosomal RNA
Rfam family: Bacterial small subunit ribosomal RNA
Source: RNAcentral
GACGAACGCUGGCGGCGUGCUUAACACAUGCAAGUCGAACGGUAAGGCCCUUCGGGGUACACGAGUGGCGAACGGGUGAGUAACACGUGGGUGAUCUGCCCUGCACUUCGGGAUAAGCCUGGGAAACUGGGUCUAAUACCGGAUAGGACCCUGGGAUGCAUGUCCUGGGGUGGAAAGCUUUUGCGGUGUGGGAUGGGCCCGCGGCCUAUCAGCUUGUGGGUGGGGUGAUUGCCUACCAAGGCGACGACGGGUAGCCGGCCUGGGAGGGUGACCGGCCACACUGGGACUGAGAUACGGCCCCGACUCCUACGGGAGGCAGCAGUGGGGAAUAUUGCACAAUGGGCGCAAGCCUGAUGCAGCGACGCCGCGUGAGGGAUGACGGCCUUCGGGUUGUAAACCUCUUUCAGCACCGACGAAGCGCAAGUGACGGUAGGUGCAGAAGAAGGACCGGCCAACUACGUGCCAGCCGCCGCAGUAA